This 268-nucleotide ribosomal RNA is filed under the name uncultured Enterobacteriaceae bacterium. RNAcentral describes it as "partial 16S ribosomal RNA". It matches the Rfam family "Bacterial small subunit ribosomal RNA", at positions 73 to 339 of the family's 1533-position model. The record is from RNAcentral. Lineage: Bacteria; Pseudomonadati; Pseudomonadota; Gammaproteobacteria; Enterobacterales; Enterobacteriaceae.
AAGCAGCUUGCUGCUUCGCUGACGAGUGGCGGACGGGUGAGUAAUGUCUGGGAAACUGCCUGAUGGAGGGGGAUAACUACUGGAAACGGUGGCUAAUACCGCAUAACGUCGCAAGACCAAAGAGGGGGACCUUUCGGGCCUCUCACUAUCGGAUGAACCCCAGAUGGGAUUAGCUAGUAGGCGGGGUAAUGGCCCACCUAGGCGACGAUCCCUAGCUGGUCUGAGAGGAUGACCAGCCACACUGGAACUGAGACACGGUCCAGGCUCC